Molecule: small nuclear RNA, 163 nt
Organism: Loxodonta africana (African savanna elephant)
Lineage: Eukaryota; Metazoa; Chordata; Mammalia; Proboscidea; Elephantidae
Gene: U1
Rfam family: U1 spliceosomal RNA
About the family: U1 is a small nuclear RNA (snRNA) component of the spliceosome (involved in pre-mRNA splicing). Its 5' end forms complementary base pairs with the 5' splice junction, thus defining the 5' donor site of an intron.
Source: Ensembl
ACACGCACUUGGCGGGGGAGAUACCACGAUCACAAAGGUGUUUUACCAGGGUGAGGCUUAUCCAUUGCUCUCAGGUUGUUCUGACCCUUGAAAUUUCUCCAAAUGUGGGAAACUGGAAUGUAUAAUUCAUGGUAGUGGGGGACUCCGUUUGUGCUUUCCUCUU